Molecule: ribosomal RNA, 316 nt
Filed under: Pristimantis pluvian
Lineage: Eukaryota; Metazoa; Chordata; Amphibia; Anura; Strabomantidae
Description: partial large subunit ribosomal RNA
Rfam family: Bacterial large subunit ribosomal RNA
Source: RNAcentral
GUAAUCACUUGUCUUCUAAAUAAAGACUACAUCACGAGAACUCAACUGUCUCCUUUUUUCAAUCAGUGAACCUAAUCUCCCCGGGAAAAAGCGGGAAUUUACAAAUUAAACGAAAAAAUGAAGCUUUAAACACGUUUUUGGUUGGGGGGACCGCGGAAAAAACCUCCCCAAUGACACAACUUUAAGUAUCAACAAAUUGACUAAUGAACCAAGUUACUCUAGGGAUAACAGCGCAAUCCACUUCAAAAAUCGACAAGGGGGCUUACACCUCCAUGUUGGAUCAGGGCAUCCCAGUGGGGCAGCCCCUACUAAUGGU